Molecule: ribosomal RNA, 117 nt
Filed under: Oncorhynchus kisutch (coho salmon)
Lineage: Eukaryota; Metazoa; Chordata; Actinopteri; Salmoniformes; Salmonidae
Source: RNAcentral
GCUUACGACCACACCGGCCUGAGUACGCCUGAUCUCGUCUGAUCUCGGAAGCUAAGCAGGGUCGGCCUGGUUAGUACUUGGAUGGGAGACCCCUGGGAAUACCAGGUGCUGUAAGCU